CAUAGGUUAAUGAGGCGAACCGGGGGAACUGAAACAUCUAAGUACCCCGAGGAAAAGAAAUCAACCGAGAUUCCCCCAGUAGCGGCGAGCGAACGGGGAGCAGCCCAGAGCCUGAAUCAGUGUGUGUGUUAGUGGAAGCGUCUGGAAAGGCGCGCGAUACAGGGUGACAGCCCCGUACACAAAAAUGCACAUACUGUGAGCUCGAUGAGUAGGGCGGGACACGUGGUAUCCUGUCUGAAUAUGGGGGGACCAUCCUCCAAGGCUAAAUACUCCUGACUGACCGAUAGUGAACCAGUACCGUGAGGGAAAGGCGAAAAGAACCCCGGCGAGGGGAGUGAAAAAGAACCUGAAACCGUGUACGUACAAGCAGUGGGAGCACGCUUAGGCGUGUGACUGCGUACCUUUUGUAUAAUGGGUCAGCGACUUAUAUUCUGUAGCAAGGUUAACCGAAUAGGGGAGCCGAAGGGAAACCGAGUCUUAACUGGGCGUUAAGUUGCAGGGUAUAGACCCGAAACCCGGUGAUCUAGCCAUGGGCAGGUUGAAGGUUGGGUAACACUAACUGGAGGACCGAACCGACUAAUGUUGAAAAAUUAGCGGAUGACUUGUGGCUGGGGGUGAAAGGCCAAUCAAACCGGGAGAUAGCUGGUUCUCCCCGAAAGCUAUUUAGGUAGCGCCUCGUGAAUUCAUCUCCGGGGGUAGAGCACUGUUUCGGCAAGGGGGUCAUCCCGACUUACCAACCCGAUGCAAACUGCGAAUACCGGAGAAUGUUAUCACGGGAGACACACGGCGGGUGCUAACGUCCGUCGUGAAGAGGGAAACAACCCAGACCGCCAGCUAAGGUCCCAAAGUCAUGGUUAAGUGGGAAACGAUGUGGGAAGGCCCAGACAGCCAGGAUGUUGGCUUAGAAGCAGCCAUCAUUUAAAGAAAGCGUAAUAGCUCACUGGUCGAGUCGGCCUGCGCGGAAGAUGUAACGGGGCUAAACCAUGCACCGAAGCUGCGGCAGCGACGCUGAUGCGUUGUUGGGUAGGGGAGCGUUCUGUAAGCCUGUGAAGGUGUGCUGUGAGGCAU
Molecule: ribosomal RNA, 1068 nt
Filed under: Escherichia coli
Lineage: Bacteria; Pseudomonadati; Pseudomonadota; Gammaproteobacteria; Enterobacterales; Enterobacteriaceae
Description: partial 23S ribosomal RNA
Rfam family: Bacterial large subunit ribosomal RNA
Source: RNAcentral